Spinacia oleracea (spinach) is the source of this 992-nucleotide long non-coding RNA. RefSeq lists it as uncharacterized. The record is from RefSeq and is a predicted model, not a curated record. Lineage: Eukaryota; Viridiplantae; Streptophyta; Magnoliopsida; Caryophyllales; Amaranthaceae. The transcript is spliced from 3 exons.
ACCUCCCUUCCAAACCCUAUGAUCGGGCACCUUCUCUCUCAACUCCAUCAACUAUCUCUCUCAUCCUCUCCGCUUUCCAUCUGAUCUCCUCUAAUCACCCGAACCUUAGGAGCGGAGCCAAUUCAGAUGGAAACCCCCUUCUUCUUCCGCCGAUGACACCAGGUACCACCGCCCGCCUUAGCUUCCUCCAAGAAAUUGCCUUCUUCCUCUGCCGCCGCCGCCACCAAGAUACCCCCUCCCCGAGGACGACUUCGACGAUGAUACCACCGACGAUUCACCGAUGCGCACCAUAAAGUCUUGGUGCUGUGUGUGCCGCUGUUUGACUUUGAGUUGAAGACAUUUUGUACCUACGCAAUAUAAAUUUUUAUGGAGACCAUUCUUUUGCCUCAGCGCACAGCCCUUGGUGUACAUUGAGAAUGAUCAGUUGUUGCAAGUGAGCAUCUGUAGAAACUUAUUAUGAAGUUUAUUCGAAAAGUCCCUCUAUUUCUAGGGAUUGAGGUACGAUUGAUAAUAUCGACCCUCUUUAUGAAGCAAAACCAGGUUGCAUGGGUUGUCAAAAUGAUAGGGGAAAAUGAGACCAAAUCGUAACCAAAACACUCAUCACUAUACGAAUUGUUGGCCGGGAUCGUUGGGGUUCAAGUAAGUUUGGCCUAUUAUUGCAAUAGAUGGGGCCUGAAGAAGUAACUAAGACAACAAAUGUCUCCAGAAGUCCAGAUUGCUUCAAUAUCAUGGUUGUAUCAUCUCCGUACCAGAGAGCUGAAAGUCAUCUUCAGUCCUCUCUGAAAUAGUAGAUGAGCUGGUUGUGCUCAUCAGAAAAUCAAGCAUGUGAUUAAUUGGGAUGACUAAAUUUUCUUAAUUUGUUACUCUUAUACUCUGUAUUUUCCUUACUUAUCAGUUUACAUGUUCUCAAACUAACCAAAAGUAGCAGUUCUGUCAAACCAAACGGAUUUUAAAAAAUAAUAUUCUUGGCUUAAUGAUUUUUUUUUGAUUUA